Molecule: long non-coding RNA, 383 nt
Organism: Xenia sp. Carnegie-2017
Lineage: Eukaryota; Metazoa; Cnidaria; Anthozoa; Malacalcyonacea; Xeniidae
Exons: 3
Source: RefSeq, a predicted model, not a curated record
UGAAUAUUACUACUUUAAAUAUUGGGAAUGACGUUCUCACUAUUUACGAUGGAAUGAACUCCAGUGCGCAUGUCCUGGGAAGAUUUUUUCGUCACAGCAAAAACGUCUAUAACAACAUUACAAUGCUGUCAUCGACCAACAAUAUUUAUAUUUUAUUACAAUAUGAAAAGUUUUCAAAUUUAAGUGAAUCAGGUUUUGUUCUGGAGUACAGGAGUCAACGAAUACCAACAGAACCAUUACCGUCACCAAAAUUUCCAUCUGAUGAGUCAACAGUUGCAGGUGAUCAAUGGCCUAACAGCAGUUUUGGCUUGCCAAGUACAUACUCUGGAUGUCCUGGUGGCUUAAAUAGUGGUUGGCGUGAGGGAUGGAGGUUGCAGGAUAUG